RNAcentral lists this ribosomal RNA (490 nucleotides) under uncultured bacterium. RNAcentral describes it as "partial 16S ribosomal RNA". It matches the Rfam family "Bacterial small subunit ribosomal RNA", at positions 29 to 507 of the family's 1533-position model. The record is from RNAcentral.
AGUGAACGCUGGCGGUAGGCCUAACACAUGCAAGUCGAACGGCAGCACAGGGGAGCUUGCUCUCUGGGUGGCGAGUGGCGGACGGGUGAGGAAUACAUCGGAUUCUGCCCAGUCGUGGGGGAUAACGUAGGGAAACUUACGCUAAUACCGCAUACGACCUUCGGGUGAAAGAGGGGGAUCGCAAGACCUCUCGCGAUGGGAUGCGCCGAUGUCGGAUUAGCUAGUUGGCGGGGUAAUGGCCCACCAAGGCGACGAUCCGUAGCUGGUCUGAGAGGAUGAUCAGCCACACUGGGACUGAGACACGGUCCAGACCCCUACGGGAGGCAGCAGUGGGGAAUAUUGGACAAUGGGCGCAAGCCUGAUCCAGCCAUACCGCGUGGGUGAAGAAGGCCUUCGGGUUGUAAAGCCCUUUUGUUGGGAAAGAAAUCUUUCAGGCUAAUACCCUGGGAGGAUGACGGUACCCAAAGAAUAAGCACCGGCUAACUUCGUG